AGUGAACGCUGGCGGUAGGCCUAACACAUGCAAGUCGAACGGCAGCACAGUAAGAGCUUGCUCUUACGGGUGGCGAGUGGCGGACGGGUGAGGAAUACAUCGGAAUCUACUUUUUCGUGGGGGAUAACGUAGGGAAACUUACGCUAAUACCGCAUACGACCUACGGGUGAAAGCAGGGGAUCUUCGGACCUUGCGCGAUUGAAUGAGCCGAUGUCGGAUUAGCUAGUUGGCGGGGUAAGGGCCCACCAAGGCGACGAUCCGUAGCUGGUCUGAGAGGAUGAUCAGCCACACUGGAACUGAGACACGGUCCAGACUCCUACGGGAGGCAGCAGUGGGGAAUAUUGGACAAUGGGCGCAAGCCUGAUCCAGCCAUACCGCGUGGGUGAAGAAGGCCUUCGGGUUGUAAAGCCCUUUUGUUGGGAAAGAACAGCAGCAGGUUAAUACCCCGCUGUUCUGACGGUACCCAAAGAAUAAGCACCGGCUAACUUCGUG
RNAcentral lists this ribosomal RNA (492 nucleotides) under uncultured bacterium. Its description in RNAcentral is "partial 16S ribosomal RNA". It matches the Rfam family "Bacterial small subunit ribosomal RNA", at positions 29 to 507 of the family's 1533-position model. The record is from RNAcentral.